Molecule: long non-coding RNA, 358 nt
Organism: Oncorhynchus keta (chum salmon)
Lineage: Eukaryota; Metazoa; Chordata; Actinopteri; Salmoniformes; Salmonidae
Exons: 3
Source: RefSeq, a predicted model, not a curated record
AGAUAUUGAUGAGUGUGCUGAGGGAAAGCACUACUGCAGAGAGAACACCAUGUGUGUCAAUACUCCAGGAUCCUUCAUGUGCAUCUGCCACACUGGAUACAUCCGGAUCGAUGACUAUUCCUGCACAGAACGUGAUGAGUGUACGACAGGUCUUCACAGCUGUGAUGAAAAUGCCAUCUGUUUCAACACGGUGGGGGCCACAGCUGCUCCUGUAAACCAGGCUAUGUAGGCAACGGGACAGUCUGCGGAGCUUUGUGUGAUGGUUUGUGCCAGAAUGGAGGAUCCUGUGUAAACCCGGACACCUGUAUCUGUCAACAGGGGUUCACUGGGAAGAGAUGUGAGACAGGUAAGAACACAG